AUUGAACGCUGGCGGCAGGCCUAACACAUGCAAGCCGAGCGCGAAAAUUCCUUCGGGGAUGAGUAGAGCGGCGGACGGGUGAGUAAUGCGCAGAAAUCUGCCCAGUAGUGGGGGACAACCUGGUGAAAACCAGGCUAAUACCGCAUACGCCUACGGGGAAAGGCAGGGAGUCUUCGGACCUUGCGCUAUUGGAUGAGUCUGCGUCGGAUUAGCUUGUUGGUGAGGUAAUGGCUCACCAAGGCGACGAUCCGUAGCUGGUCUGAGAGGAUGAUCAGCCACACUGGGACUGAGACACGGCCCAGACUCCUACGGGAGGCAGCAGUGGGGAAUAUUGGACAAUGGGCGAAAGCCUGAUCCAGCCGUGCCGCGUGUGUGAAGAAGGCUCUAGGGUUGUAAAGCACUUUCAGUGGGGAAGAAAGACUUGUUAGCUAAUAACUGACGAGUGUGACAUUACCCACAGAAGAAGCACCGG
Molecule: ribosomal RNA, 472 nt
Filed under: uncultured bacterium
Lineage: Bacteria
Description: bacterial SSU rRNA
Rfam family: Bacterial small subunit ribosomal RNA
Source: RNAcentral